This 400-nucleotide unclassified non-coding RNA is filed under the name Eucalyptus obliqua (messmate stringybark). RNAcentral's name for it is "partial external transcribed spacer". The record is from RNAcentral. Lineage: Eukaryota; Viridiplantae; Streptophyta; Magnoliopsida; Myrtales; Myrtaceae.
UGCAUCGAACUGCUUCCCUCACUUUCGAUCAGUUGUUGCUCCACGAGAUAAACGUUGGACGCAAGACAUGGGUUCCUGUGUUGCAUACCUAUUGCGACGGAAAUGUGUGCCUUCGAUCGUCCCUUCCAUCACGGCGUCCUCACGGAUGCUCGGUUGGACCGGAUAGUGGGGCUCGUGUUCCACGAACGUMGUCUCAUUCGACCGUUCGGAUGGACCACGGGUGCCCACUCGUUCUCUCGGAUGYGGAAAUCUSUUGAUGGGCGUGGGGUCAUUGGCCCUUGGUCCCUAAUCGUUAAGCGUUUAUCGCUUCACCGGAAUGACGAUCUCGCCUUGUCCUUGACCACGCGAAGCCCUCGGGCAUCGCGACGGAUCAUGCUCGGCGGACGUCGUGAAGGAAUGC